CUCAAUGGUGGCUGUGCGCAUGGCGCCCUCGGGCGCGCCGGUUUAGGUAUGUCACCGGUCUACUAACCUGCGCACAGCCGCCUCCCUA
Molecule: non-coding RNA, 88 nt
Filed under: Pseudomonas sp. NFACC37-1
Lineage: Bacteria; Pseudomonadati; Pseudomonadota; Gammaproteobacteria; Pseudomonadales; Pseudomonadaceae
Source: RNAcentral